CCUACGGGAGGCUGCAGUGAGGAAUAUUGGUCAAUGGGCGCGAGCCUGAACCAGCCAAGUAGCGUGAAGGAUGACUGCCCUACGGGUUGUAAACUUCUUUUAUAAAGGAAUAAAGUGAGGCACGUGUGCCUUUUUGCAUGUACUUUAUGAAUAAGGAUCGGCUAACUCCGUGCCAGCAGCCGCGGUAAUACGGAGGAUCCGAGCGUUAUCCGGAUUUAUUGGGUUUAAAGGGAGCGUAGAUGGGUUGUUAAGUCAGUUGUGAAAGUUUGCGGCUCAACCGUAAAAUUGCAAUUGAUACUGGCAGCCUUGAGUACAGUUGAGGUAGGCGGAAUUCGUGGUGUAGCGGUGAAAUGCUUAGAUAUCACGAAGAACUCCGAUUGCGAAGGCAGCCUGCUGAACUGCCACUGACGUUGAUGCUCGAAAGUGUGGGUAGCAAACAGGAUUAGAUACCCCUGUAGUC
Molecule: ribosomal RNA, 460 nt
Filed under: uncultured bacterium
Lineage: Bacteria
Description: partial 16S ribosomal RNA
Rfam family: Bacterial small subunit ribosomal RNA
Source: RNAcentral